RNAcentral lists this ribosomal RNA (400 nucleotides) under phytoplankton environmental sample. RNAcentral's name for it is "partial small subunit ribosomal RNA". It matches the Rfam family "Eukaryotic small subunit ribosomal RNA", at positions 587 to 981 of the family's 1831-position model. The record is from RNAcentral.
AGCUCCAAUAGCGUAUAUUAAUGUUGCUGCAGUUAAAAAGCUCGUAGUUGGAUUUCUGGUAUGAUGCGCCUGGUCCGCCCCGUUUAGGUGUGUGAGUACCGGUGCGCGUCUGCCAUCCUUCUAGAGAGCGUGUCUACCCUUCACUGGGCCGGGCACGUCAUCUGGAUCGUUUACUUUGAAAAAAUUAGAGUGUUUCAAGCAGGCAUACUCGCUUUGAAUACAUUAGCAUGGAAUAAUAAGAUAGGACUUGGGUUCUAUUUUGUUGGUUUCUAGGACCGAAGUAAUGAUUGAUAGGGACAGUUGGGGGUGCUAGUAUUCCACGGCCAGAGGUGAAAUUCUUGGAUUCGUGGAAGACUAACUAAUGCGAAAGCAUUCACCAAGGAUGUCUUCUUUAAUCAAG